RNAcentral lists this small nucleolar RNA (139 nucleotides) under Mus caroli (Ryukyu mouse). RNAcentral describes it as "predicted gene, 25910 (MGP_CAROLIEiJ_G0036539.1)". It matches the Rfam family "Small nucleolar RNA SNORA17". From Rfam's summary of the family: snoRNA ACA 17 belongs to the H/ACA family of snoRNAs and is predicted to guide pseudouridylation of the 28S rRNA at positions U4659 and U4598. It shares the same host gene together with ACA43. The record is from RNAcentral. Lineage: Eukaryota; Metazoa; Chordata; Mammalia; Rodentia; Muridae.
CCUGCCUCCCAGAGGCAUAGCAGGUGUGCUUUUUUUUCUGCCAACUGAGUGUCAGUAGGAGGCAAUGAAGAGAGGCUAUGUCUUUGCUCAGCUCAUUGUCAUGACCUAUGAGCAUCUGAAUGAUUAGUAGCCUAACAUU